AUGAAGAGGAAGAAUACUAGUACUACUGAUUUGAGAACUUUCUUGGAGAGAGUUGCUGCAAAAAAAGGGAGGUCUCUUCGGUAUGAGAUUGUUUACAAAUUUCUCAAAUUGGUGCUAGUUCAAUUAGCUGGUGGUGAGAGGGUCUUCUCAUCAAUGAACUAUAUAAAAAACAAGCUAAGAAGCAAGAUGGGGCAAAAAUACUUGAAUGAUUGCUUGGUCACAUUCAUUGAAAGGAGAUUUUUCUUGCAAGUUCAGGACAAGGACAUCAUCACUCAUUUUCAAAGCAUCAAGGAUCGCAAAGUUAUCCUCUAG
This 312-nucleotide ribosomal RNA is filed under the name Triticum aestivum (bread wheat). Its description in RNAcentral is "partial small subunit ribosomal RNA". Lineage: Eukaryota; Viridiplantae; Streptophyta; Magnoliopsida; Poales; Poaceae. The record is from RNAcentral.